This is a non-coding RNA of Danio rerio (zebrafish), 326 nucleotides long. Lineage: Eukaryota; Metazoa; Chordata; Actinopteri; Cypriniformes; Danionidae. The record is from RefSeq and is a predicted model, not a curated record.
GCUCGUCGAAGAAUGCUUGGAAAAGGUGGAUGUCUGUUUGUUCAGCGGCAUCCUGAGGAUGCAUAAGAGUACAUACUGCUGUGUGAGUGACUGAUGUGAGCCACAUGAGUCUCAGAGCAGAAUAUUCAUGACCCUUCUAAAUAAGAAUCAGCUCCACCAAUUUGAGGAUUGCAAGAACUGAAGUAUGCAAGCUAUAUGUAGAAAUCACAUCAUUUUACUGCACCUCUACCCAGACCAUCAGUACACCCAGGAAUCUGCUGAUACUGGGUGGAAUCCAUGCAACCUUCAACUCUGACAAGGUUUCCGGUACCUGUGCCUGCCACACA